CCGCUCUUAACUCAGUUGGUAGAGUGGCAGACUGUAACGGUUACGGUGAUCUGUAUGUCCCCGGUUCGAAUCCGGGAGGGCGGA
Molecule: non-coding RNA, 84 nt
Organism: Blyttiomyces helicus
Lineage: Eukaryota; Fungi; Chytridiomycota; Chytridiomycetes
Source: the annotation of a GenBank genome assembly